This 402-nucleotide ribosomal RNA is filed under the name uncultured bacterium. RNAcentral describes it as "bacterial SSU rRNA". It matches the Rfam family "Bacterial small subunit ribosomal RNA", at positions 355 to 774 of the family's 1533-position model. The record is from RNAcentral.
UGGGGAAUAUUGCACAAUGGGGGAAACCCUGAUGCAGCAACGCCGCGUGAGUGAUGAAGGCCUUCGGGUUGUAAAGCUCUGUCUUUGGGGACGAUAAUGACGGUACCCAAGGAGGAAGCCACGGCUAACUACGUGCCAGCAGCCGCGGUAAUACGUAGGUGGCAAGCGUUGUCCGGAUUUACUGGGCGUAAAGGAUGCGUAGGCGGAUAUUUAAGUGAGAUGUGAAAUACCCGGGCUCAACUUGGGUGCUGCAUUUCAAACUGGAUAUCUAGAGUGCAGGAGAGGAAAGUGGAAUUCCUAGUGUAGCGGUGAAAUGCGUAGAGAUUAGGAAGAACAUCAGUGGCGAAGGCGACUUUCUGGACUGUAACUGACGCUGAGGCAUGAAAGCGUGGGGAGCAAACA